AUAUAUGCAGAUUUCUUACUUGUAUGUCUUCUAAGAGUUACUACGUUAACUGUACAUUAUUCAGUAUUAUUCAGAAUACCAGUGAUAUUUCACUGUAUUAGCAGAUUGGGAGAGAACUAAUAAUGCUUUUAAAAAUUAAAUAAUUAAAACGAGAGCUGUGAGACUAAAUGCCAUUAUGAAAAUGCAUUCUAAUAAAAUUAGUUCAGUCUGGUAUUUGAAAGGUUGUUUGCUCUCAUGAAUAUUCACGCAAGCUGCAUUUUUCUUAGCAAUAACAUUCCUUAAAAAUUUAAAAUUAAUCAUGCCAAUAUUUGUUUGCCCUGAAAGUCCUGUGAAUUCUCAGACGACUGUGUUUGCAUGAAUUUUCACUUGUGACAAAACUUACUCAAGUCCUUUUCCUUUUUCUUAUGUGUGGUUGGAUGACAGAGACAACCAAAUGAAUAAAUACCCUGGGAUUUAAGAAGUUAGCAGCACUGUACAAACAGCACAUUGCAAGUAAAGAAUGCCAAAAGCAAGGGUGGCCUGAGACAGUUAAUGAGCAAGCUAUGGUCAAGAAUAUGAUCACAUAAAAUCCUUUCUAAAUAAUGUUAGCUAGAAUAAUUUGCAGAAAUUAAAUCAAAUUAUUCCUAAGGCCAAGUAGCAAACACAAAAAGAAGGGACUUUUAUUAAAUUAAUUGUUCAGCCACCGAUAACUAAAAACUGAAAUAGUGUCCAUUUCUCAUUUCCUGAAAUAGUUUAUCCCUGCCUUAGGAUGAUGAACUCCUUUGCUGUAACCUGUGUGGUAUGAGCAACAGAUUGCCUUAACGCAUUACUAACAGACAUCAAGAAACGGUUUUUAAUAAACUUAAAACAUUCAUGACAAGCUGUUUAUAAUUAUCACAAAAAUUUAAUUGUUUCCUAUGUGAUAAAGCCUUAAUUCUUGCAAACAGUAUGCCUGGAAGUAGUAUCAAUAUUAGGCUGCUGCUUUGCUUUGGUCUUAGAGUGAGAGUGUGCACACAGGUUUUUGGUGCCCUAGGAACUAAAAUCAAUGUUGAAAUAAACCACAGUCAGCAAAGGAUCUGGAACAGGGACUUUGAAAAGCCAGAACUGGAAUUGGUGUCUUGUGAUUUGCUUUUAGAGUCACACUUUUCUCCACUACAGCUUUUCUGGAGUUCAUAUAUAAAUGCAGUGGGUAUUCCUCUAACCCUUUAUUAUGUUAUAGCCAAGAUAAGUAGCUUGAUGGUUAUUAGGUGAUAACCUGCAUGAUUAUUAGGUGAUCACACAGCUUGUGUUGUAAACAGCUUCCAGAAAUGAAUAUGAAAGAAAGCCUUUUCACCAAUAAUAUGUAAUCAGGGGAAGAAGAGGAAGGAGUGAAGAGGAAGGGGGCCAUAUGUGUUCAUGAGGAAAUGAGGGUUAACUGAAGAUUCACCCACAGAAAAGCCAUAUG
Long non-coding RNA from Oxyura jamaicensis (ruddy duck), 1423 nucleotides. RefSeq lists it as uncharacterized. The transcript is spliced from 2 exons. NCBI's taxonomy places the organism in Eukaryota, Metazoa, Chordata, Aves, Anseriformes, Anatidae. The record is from RefSeq and is a predicted model, not a curated record.